CCAGAGACCGAGGAUAAGGGCUGUCAGACUGAAAGCCGAUGACGGUCACCCAACGAAAUGUGCUGGUCCCAGCGAGCAAAGGGCCCACGCGACAUUCAACAGCAGCUUGCAACACCAGAACUGUCCGAGCAGUGAGGCCCACGGCGGUCAGCCACCAGACUCUGGCGAACACACUGAAGAACUGUGGCAAUCCGACGAAGACCAGCUGGUCUGGACUCUGAAAUUUGAUCCCAAGCCUCCAAAGGCCAGCAAAUCCGCCCGUCGUCGUCGUCGCAACUGCCAGCGUCAACUGCGUGAUUACAGCAUGGAUGAUGAGUACGAUGACGAAGAAAUUAGGAUGACCCCACAGGGACUCUGCCUAUUCCGAUUGUUUGGCAGCCGAUGGGUGGCAAUGGCCUAAUCAGUUUUUCUUUUUGGAAUACAGUGAUCCCUCGUUUAUCGCGGGAGUUGCGUUCCAAAAAUAACACGCGAAAAGUGAAAUCCGUGAAGUAGUCAGCUUUAUUUUUUAUUUUUAUUUUACAAUGCAAUACUGAACUGUAGAAUGAAACCAAAAAUCAAAACCUGUUUUAAAGCCCAAAAUUUGUUUAAAACACUAAUUUUAAUAUAGUAAUACAAGGUUGGAAACAUUGUCACACACGUAUUUCCCAGUCCCAGCUGUGCCUCUUCGUCCUGACUCCGCUCCGCUGGAGCGUCUGUUUCUACUGGAGGCGCAGGAGUGUUUCUCCCAGAGAAGAACUUUGUUAUGGGUAGUUGUUGGCGCUCUUUCUUUUUCUGAGCAAGAAGAUUUUUAUAAACGGAUAUGCCACCUUCGAUUAUAUUUGAGAACUGCAACGAACGACUCGCAAAAAAAAAUCCGUGAAGCAGCGAAGCCGUGAAAGAUGAAACGCGAUAUAGCGAGGGAUCACUGUAUUUCCUUUUUAAUGAUCCAUUUUUUUUCCUGAACUUCAUGAAUAUUUGUGAUAUUUGUGAAUAAAAUCUGAAUAUACUCCGGUCUUUUGUGAUGAUUUAAGUCAAUUUGGAGAAAUUCAAAU
This 1031-nucleotide long non-coding RNA is filed under the name Takifugu rubripes (torafugu). Its description in RNAcentral is "lncRNA (ENSTRUG00000026057.1)". Lineage: Eukaryota; Metazoa; Chordata; Actinopteri; Tetraodontiformes; Tetraodontidae. The record is from RNAcentral.